UGAGCAAUCUGCCCUUCUCAUCGGAAUAAGCGUUGGAAACGACGUCUAAUGCCGAAUACGACCUCCUUUCGCAUGAUCGGAGGUGGAAAGCUCCGGCGGAGAAGGAUGAGCUCGCGGCCUAUCAGCUAGUUGGUGUGGGUAAUGGCCCACCAAGGCGACGACGGGUAGCCGGCCUGAGAGGGCGACCGGCCACACUGGGACUAAGACACGGCCCAGACCUCCGUACGGGAGGNAG
RNAcentral lists this ribosomal RNA (235 nucleotides) under uncultured bacterium. RNAcentral describes it as "partial 16S ribosomal RNA". It matches the Rfam family "Bacterial small subunit ribosomal RNA", at positions 118 to 351 of the family's 1533-position model. The record is from RNAcentral.